UUGUCGGAAGAGCACAUUGUAGUGUAUGCGACAGAAUAAAGCAGAGAUUUUUGUGACCAGAAGAGUGAGUUGCACCUGAGUGUCGUUCUUCACAGCGUCGAACCCUGUGCAGCGGGACACGCUACAACUGGUGGCAGCGGCGAGACGCUGGAUAGCUGUAGAAAAACAGUUUUCGAAGAAAAACUGAACUCCGCACUUGGAAAGGAUGAAUGUGAAAAGAAUGAUGGUUGAGGUGUACGCAGCAGUGAAUUACCGCGGAGAUCAACGUCAGGUUUAGAAGAAGGAACGGGAGGAAACAUUUCACCGGAAAAAUCCCCAAGACAACCAUGUGUUUGUCGGAUCUAAAGACGUACUGAACCCAAGUAGUGUGACAGACGUUUCUCGGGGCAUGAAACCAAAGUGAAAAGAGCAGAGUGCUGACGCUUCUGUUGAAUGAUGUUACAAACAAGGGAAUUCAAAGC
Long non-coding RNA from Acanthaster planci (crown-of-thorns starfish), 461 nucleotides. NCBI's taxonomy places the organism in Eukaryota, Metazoa, Echinodermata, Asteroidea, Valvatida, Acanthasteridae. The record is from RefSeq and is a predicted model, not a curated record.